Molecule: long non-coding RNA, 216 nt
Filed under: Elaeis guineensis (African oil palm)
Lineage: Eukaryota; Viridiplantae; Streptophyta; Magnoliopsida; Arecales; Arecaceae
Description: long non-coding RNA (EGUI_LNC043318)
Source: RNAcentral
GCCUUGAUAAUCGCAUAGGACUUCUCUUUUUCUAUCAAAGUCGAUAGAUUUCAUCUAGGUGCAUCCUACUCUAAUAGCAAAUCUAAACCUACUAUAGCCAACAUACACAAUAAAGAUUCGAAUGAUUAGGGAUCAAGAAAAUAUGCAGUCAAACUUAGUAGCCUCACUACGAAUAGCCAAUAACACUGCAAGUCAAAGGACCACUCACACCACUGC